Molecule: ribosomal RNA, 253 nt
Filed under: uncultured bacterium
Lineage: Bacteria
Description: partial 16S ribosomal RNA
Rfam family: Bacterial small subunit ribosomal RNA
Source: RNAcentral
UACAGAGGCCACAAGCGUUAGGCGGAAUCACUGGGCUUAAAGCGUGUGUAGGCGGGUUGGUAAGUACCUUGUGAAAUCCCACGGCUUAACCGUGGAAAGGCUUGGUAUACUGCCGAUCUUGAGUCAUCUAGGGGCAACCGGAACAGAUGGUGGAGCGGUGAAAUGCAUAGAUAUCAUCUGGAACGCCAAUGGUGCAGACAGGUUGCUGGGGAUGUACUGACGCUGAGGCACGAAAGCCAGGGGAGCAAACGGG